Acanthosepion pharaonis is the source of this 113-nucleotide non-coding RNA. The record is from the annotation of a GenBank genome assembly. Lineage: Eukaryota; Metazoa; Mollusca; Cephalopoda; Sepiida; Sepiidae.
UUACGGCCACAUCACUUUGAAACAUCAGCUCCCGUACGAUCACUGACGUGAAGCAACGUCGAGCCUGGUUAUUACUCAGAUGGGUAACGGCUUGGGAAUAGCAGGUGCUGUAA